Molecule: non-coding RNA, 30 nt
Filed under: Mus musculus (house mouse)
Lineage: Eukaryota; Metazoa; Chordata; Mammalia; Rodentia; Muridae
Source: RNAcentral
UGAGCCUAGCUUCUUUUGGGUUGCUAAGAC